GCAGUCGAGCGGUAAGGCCCCUUCGGGGGUACACGAGCGGCGAACGGGUGAGUAACGCGUGGGUAACCUACCCAGAAGUGGGGGAUAGCCCCGGGAAACCGGGGGUAAUACCGCAUGUACCACAGCCAACGCGAGUCGGUUGUGGAAAAGGCGGGGAUCCUUCGGGACCUGUCGCUUCUGGAUGGGCCCGCGUCCGAUUAGCUUGUUGGUGGGGUAACGGCCUACCAAGGCUGCGAUCGGUAGCCGGCCUGAGAGGGUGAACGGCCACAUUGGGACUGAGACACGGCCCAGACUCCUACGGGAGGCAGCAGUGGGGAAUUUUGGGCAAUGGGCGCAAGCCUGACCCAGCGACGCCGCGUGGAGGAUGAAGGCCUUCGGGUUGUAAACUCCUGUCAGGUGGGAAGAAAUGCCCGUCGGUGAAUAGCUGACGGGAGUUGACGGUACCACCAAAGGAAGCCCCGGCUAACUCCGUGCCAGCAGCCGCGGUAAUACGGAGGGGGCAAGCGUUAUUCGGAUUUACUGGGCGUAAAGCGCACGUAGGCGGCUAGGCAAGUCGCAGGUGAAAGCCCUCGGCUCAACCGAGGAACUGCCUGCGAAACUGCUCUGCUUGAGUCCGG
RNAcentral lists this ribosomal RNA (617 nucleotides) under uncultured bacterium. RNAcentral's name for it is "bacterial SSU rRNA". It matches the Rfam family "Bacterial small subunit ribosomal RNA", at positions 57 to 651 of the family's 1533-position model. The record is from RNAcentral.